AAAUCUGAGAUUAUUAUACUGUUUGGCCCUCACCAUGCCAGAGUUCAGAUUGAAAACGAGCAUGGUCCACUGGCCGCUAGUUUAAAGCCAUCUGUGAGAAACCUUGAUGUCUUAUUUCACCCAGACCUCAAUUUAGAGCUCCAGCUAAAGAAAGCAAUCUGAUCUUGCUGCUAUCUUUUUAGAACAAAAAUGCUAAAAUCAAGUCUUUUGUGUCUGUCACUGAUAGUGAAAGUUCAUUCUUUUUAUUUCUUCUUGCCUCAAUUAUUGUACUUCUUUGAUCACCUGUCUCAACCAGAAAUCUCUCCAUCAUCUUCAUUAAGCACACAAUGCUGCUGCUCGACUCUUAAUAAGCACCAUAAAAUUAGACCGUAUUAUGCCUAUCCCAGCAUUUUUGCACUGGCUUUCCAGUCGAUAAAUUAUGUUCGACAAACGAAGACGUCCAAACGGCGUCUAAAAGGUUCAGUGAAUGUAUCGACAACAUUUCACCGUACCAGAGACAAUCGACUUUUCUGUUAUCGACCCCCCAUUCCUUACAAUUUAAUAGGCAUUCUACUGUAGGCUGAUUACAUUUAGAGCAAUCUGAUGCAUCUGAUCGACACUACAAAGGUAUGUCGGGACGGGGGAGAAAUUGGGAAGACGAGGAAACAAAAGCAUUGCUUGUCAUUUGGUCGGAUAGUAAAAUACAACGGAAGCUUGGAGGGAUGCGAAAUGCGGCAGCUUAUCGGGAUAUAAGUGGACGGCUGGCAGCCAUGGGUUUCUGUCGCACUGUCGACCAGGUACGACGUAAAGUUAAAUUGAUGAGGUGUGAAUUCAAAAAAGCCACAGACCACAACAUAGGAAGCGGAUCUCGCGGGAAAAUGUGUAGAUUUUACAGAGAGCUAUCUGAUAUAUUAAGCAGCACAGCGGAUAUGAAUGUGCCGCAGGGUUCUGUGUCACCAGCACCGGCUUAUUUCACCUCAAGUCCUGAAAGCAGCUUCAUAAUAAAGGAAGAGCCUACUUCUGAAGACGAGGAGGAUGUGAAAAAAAUGAAUGAGCCCUCAAUCAGUGCAGAUUCUUCAAGUCUAAUGGGAAAUGUAACCUCCAGCAAUGUAACUUUUCAAGGAGACACAACAUCAACAUCUGGUACAGCCCAGAGAAAAGAAUGCAAAGGCACAGUCUGUGAGGUUUUGAGUCAGCUGGCUGAUUUCGAUGCCAAAUUCCUCCAGCUUCAACAAGAAAAGUUUGCCUUUGAGCAAAAAAUGAGAAAACAGGAACUGGAGUUCCAGAGACAGGAGCUGGAGUACCACAAAGAGCUCACAAACAUAUUAUCUAAACUUGCAGAAAAACUUGACCUGCCUUAAAUGGAUUUACAGUAAGAACAACUGUCAGCAAUAUCCUUUCAAUCAUGAUUUUUUAAAUGAUUUUGGGACUCUCAUGUGGGUAUUGUACAUAAAUCCUGUUUGAUAUUUUUGUUAACAUAACAUAACACAACAUAACAUAAUUUCGAGAACAGGCCAUUCAGCCCCACAAUUCACUAAAUUGGUGCUCUGAUUACCUACUGACUAGAUCGUAUAUUGUUUUUAUCCUUUGACUGUAAGUGUACCAUAGAUCAUGAGAAUGUGUUCUUUUAAAUGAAGUAAUUUAGGGCUCUUUAAGCACGCUGUCACUAAAGGAGAAUGUGGCCAUAAGGAGAAUGUGAGUGAUUGGUAAAGUUCACAUUAACAACAUUUUCAAGUUAUUUUCAAAUGGAAUAAUACAUGUUCUCAAAACUUUAAAAAGUUUAAAGUUUGAGACAUAACUACAGUAAUUUUAAAUAUAGUUAACUACUUGUUUUGUGGUUACACUGAAUCUUCUUUUUUUAUUGCAUCUUUAA
Molecule: long non-coding RNA, 1852 nt
Organism: Anguilla rostrata (American eel)
Lineage: Eukaryota; Metazoa; Chordata; Actinopteri; Anguilliformes; Anguillidae
Exons: 3
Source: RefSeq, a predicted model, not a curated record